UACGGAGGGUGCAAGCGUUAAUCGGAAUUACUGGGCGUAAAGCGCACGCAGGCGGUUGAGUGAGCCAGGUGGGAAAUCCCCGGGCUUAACCUGGGAAUUGCAUCUGAAACUGGUUAGCUAGAGUGUUGGAGAGGGGGGUAGAAUUCCAUGUGUAGCGGUGAAAUGCGUAGAGAUGUGGAGGAAUACCGGUGGCGAAGGCGGCCCCCUGGACAAAGACUGACGCUCAGGUGCGAAAGCGUGGGGAGCAAACAGG
RNAcentral lists this ribosomal RNA (253 nucleotides) under uncultured bacterium. RNAcentral's name for it is "partial 16S ribosomal RNA". It matches the Rfam family "Bacterial small subunit ribosomal RNA", at positions 524 to 776 of the family's 1533-position model. The record is from RNAcentral.